Molecule: ribosomal RNA, 239 nt
Filed under: uncultured bacterium
Lineage: Bacteria
Description: partial 16S ribosomal RNA
Rfam family: Bacterial small subunit ribosomal RNA
Source: RNAcentral
UACGGAGGGUGCAAGCGUUAUCCGGAUUCACUGGGUUUAAAGGGUGCGUAGGUGGCUAUUUAAGUCAGUGGUGAAAGCCCGCGGCUCAACCGUGGAAUUGCCAUUGAAACUGAAUAGCUUGAGUACAGUUGAAGUGGGCGGAAUACAUCAUGUAGCGGUGAAAUGCUUAGAUAUGAUGUAGAACACCGAUUGCGAAGGCAGCUCACUAAGCUGUAACUGACACUGGAGGCACGAAAAGC